Molecule: ribosomal RNA, 515 nt
Filed under: bacterium symbiont of Megymenum gracilicorne
Lineage: Bacteria
Description: bacterial SSU rRNA
Rfam family: Bacterial small subunit ribosomal RNA
Source: RNAcentral
GGAGGGUGCAAGCGUUAAUCGGAAUUACUGGGCGUAAAGCGCACGCAGGCGGUCUGUCAAGUCGGAUGUGAAAUCCCCGGGCUCAACCUGGGAACUGCAUUCGAAACUGGCAGGCUAGAGUCUUGUAGAGGGGGGUAGAAUUCCAGGUGUAGCGGUGAAAUGCGUAGAGAUCUGGAGGAAUACCGGUGGCGAAGGCGGCCCCCUGGACAAAGACUGACGCUCAGGUGCGAAAGCGUGGGGAGCAAACAGGAUUAGAUACCCUGGUAGUCCACGCCGUAAACGAUGUCGACUUGGAGGCUGUUCCCUUGAGGAGUGGCUUCCGGAGCUAACGCGUUAAGUCGACCGCCUGGGGAGUACGGCCGCAAGGUUAAAACUCAAAUGAAUUGACGGGGGCCCGCACAGGCGGUGGAGCAUGUGGUUUAAUUCGAUGCAACGCGAAGAACCUUACCUACUCUUGACAUCCACGGAACUUAGCAGAGAUGCUUUGGUGCCUUCGGGAACCGUGAGACAGGUGC